Molecule: long non-coding RNA, 1643 nt
Organism: Manis pentadactyla (Chinese pangolin)
Lineage: Eukaryota; Metazoa; Chordata; Mammalia; Pholidota; Manidae
Exons: 2
Source: RefSeq, a predicted model, not a curated record
AGAAACUGGGCGGUCGGAGCAUGGUCACUGCCCGCGGUGCACCAGGAACCUCGCGUGGAGUGGGCAGUAUCCAUAUGCGGCGUGGUCAAAGCCUCACCUGAAACACAAGCCUAGCACUUGCUAGUUUUAUUGACAUCUCUUGGUGCUGCCCCUUCAAAUGACUUGACUGUCAUUUUGGGAUUUGGGCAGCAGAAGAGAGAAGCUCAUACACUCCUGAUUGGCUGUCCUCUGUGCUCGGACGCAGCCCACACGCAGAUGCCUCCUCCCCAUUCCGGGCCCUGCAGGCGGCUCCUCCUGCGGGACUGCGCAUGAAGCUCAGUUAAUGACAAGGUCCCCGCGCCUUUGUGAGCAUGUCCUCUGCGGCUUCUGCAUGUGCUCAGUAAGCGAGCAAAUAAAAGGAAGGGGUGCAGUCAGAGGCCUCUGGGCACCGGAGCCACACCCUCCCACGGCGUGAGGAGUCCGGAGGCGAGCACACAGCUUUAACACCUAUUGAGGUUUCAUCAUCAAAGCAGAGAUUCGGCCUUUUUUGGUGACAGCAGUUGACCCUUAAUCAACAACCAGCCGUCAGAAAGCGCUACCUUAUCACCCACCCACUCACGCUGCAGUCAGAGGGCUCAGGGCCUUCAUGAGACCCCCACUGCUCACUGCCUGGCCCUUCAGUCUCGGGACAUACCUGGUUUCCGGUGAUGCAUUAGAACCUGAUGACUUGUUCUGAAUAUUUUCUUUAAAAAGAAACAUUUCCUCUAAAAAUGUGAGAACAGUAUUAUAGUAUGUAUUCAUGUACUUAUUUUGUCAUUGGUGUGCACUUCAAUUUUUAGAAUUUAAAAAUUUUCAUUUAUAUUUUUAAAACCUUUAGAAAGUAUUUUCAUCAGCAAAACUUGGUUUAUAACCAACCUUUCAGAGGCAUCUAUUUUUUUAAAGUAAAACAUCCCCGUGUGCAAAACAAAAAUAUGUGUGUUCCCCUAGUGUUUCCGUACAGUGUCUGUACAGGUCUGAACGCCAUGACAAAGAAGCAGUGUCAUCUGUUUUCACCUAGACAGCCACAUUGCUCCUCCAAUAUUGCAGUCAAAUAGAAUAAAAAACUGUAGAGGUCACAAAAUAGAGUAGAAAUACCUGGGACUGUAGUAAAAAGCCCAACGUUCAAAUGUGGGUUUGAUCACAAUGUGUGACAUCAAGAAGUCUCUGAACUAUUUGUCCCUUGUGCUUUUCAUCUGUGACAUGAUUUAAGCAGUAUUUGUAUGACUUGCCUUUGUUGGGUAGUUACUGAGACCAAACAACAUAUCAGAAAAAAUGUUUUAAGCUGUAAUAUUGUACAAAUUAUUUGAUAACUCUGUGAAGGUAACCUAAGAUUUUAUCACUAAUAUGUUAUCCUGACUGUAAAAACCAAUUAAACCUUAUCAAAUAUUUAGUUUUGCAAAUUAUCCUAAAAGCACAAGUAUACAUUCAUUCAGGGGACCCUAAGCCUCCAAGACUUACACAAAUGCCGAGGAGCCCCCAUUCUGUCCCCCUGGGGGUGCACAUCCUUAGUAAAAAGCAGUGAUUCCAUUAAAAUUCAGGAGUGUGCUGUGCAUGUUGGAUACACAGUAGUUCCCACCACAGAUCUGGUGGUGUCUUCAAAGCUGAUUAAAAUUAGUAUAUUCUCA